RNAcentral lists this ribosomal RNA (301 nucleotides) under uncultured bacterium. RNAcentral's name for it is "partial 16S ribosomal RNA". It matches the Rfam family "Bacterial small subunit ribosomal RNA", at positions 509 to 807 of the family's 1533-position model. The record is from RNAcentral.
CAGUAGCCGCGGGAAUACGAAGGGGGCCAGCGUUGCUCGGAAUUACUGGGCGUAAAGGGAGCGUAGGCGGGUCGUUUAGUCAGAGGUGAAAUCCCGGGGCUCAACCUCGGAACUGCCUUUGAUACUGGCGACCUUGAGUAUGGGAGAGGUGAGUGGAACUCCGAGUGUAGAGGUGAAAUUCGUAGAUAUUCGGAAGAACACCAGUGGCGAAAGCGACUCACUGGCCCAUUACUGACGCUGAGGCUCGAAAGCGUGGGGAGCAAACAGGAUUAGAUACCCCUGUAGUCCCUGUCUCUUAUAC